GACGAACGCUGGCGGCGUGCCUAAUACAUGCAAGUCGAGCGAAGUUUUUCUGGUGCUUGCACUAGAAAAACUUAGCGGCGAACGGGUGAGUAACACGUAAAGAACCUGCCUCAUAGACUGGGACAACUAUUGGAAACGAUAGCUAAUACCGGAUAACAAUAUUUUUCGCAUGAAAGAUACUUAAAAGUUGGUUAUGCUAACACUAUGAGAUGGCUUUGCGGUGCAUUAGCUAGUUGGUGGGGUAAAGGCCCACCAAGGCGACGAUGCAUAGCCGACCUGAGAGGGUGAUCGGCCACACUGGGACUGAGACACGGCCCAGACUCCUACGGGAGGCAGCAGUAGGGAAUCUUCCGCAAUGGGCGAAAGCCUGACGGAGCAACGCCGCGUGAGUGAAGAAGGAUUUCGGUUCGUAAAGCUCUGUUGUUAGGGAAGAAUGGAUAUGUAGUAACUAUACAUAUAAGA
Molecule: ribosomal RNA, 462 nt
Filed under: Gemella morbillorum
Lineage: Bacteria; Bacillati; Bacillota; Bacilli; Caryophanales; Gemellaceae
Description: bacterial SSU rRNA
Rfam family: Bacterial small subunit ribosomal RNA
Source: RNAcentral